This is an RNA transcript of Zingiber officinale, 1945 nucleotides long. It is a transcript of the gene named very-long-chain aldehyde decarbonylase GL1-9-like, with no coding region annotated. Lineage: Eukaryota; Viridiplantae; Streptophyta; Magnoliopsida; Zingiberales; Zingiberaceae. The transcript is spliced from 3 exons. The record is from RefSeq and is a predicted model, not a curated record.
UUCUUGGGAGAAUUGCAGCGGGAGAAAACACGAAACGAAAAUGGUUCCACCGACGACGCUUUUCUGAUUCCUGAAAUCCCGAUAGAGAGGGCCGAAGGGGAAAGCGCCGUUUGCAUUUUCUCCUCCUGAUCGGAACUCCAACUCUUCGAAUCCCUUCGGGCGUCGGAUCUGCCAUUUCGAGGUAACUGCAAUUUUUCGUCGCCAUCGCCAAGUUUGAUCUUUCUCGCACCACGGUGAGAAAUUGCUGGAUCCGGAACGGAUGCCGUUGUAAAGAUCCAUCUUUUCCCUUCCCCUUCCAGUGACCACAAUCUGUCGCGCUUCAUACCGAUUUCUGAAUUCCUCGGUGAAAUAGGAGUUCUUUUUUUUUUUCUCCGGAUCUCCAUUGAGUCAAAGAUGGUCUUCUGGGAAGGGUACAUCAGUGAUGAGUUGAUGGGCACCUUUGCCCCCGUCGUAGUGUAUUGGCUGUACGCUGGACUGUAUCAGCUCCUGCCUUCCCUGGACCAGUACCGAUUGCAUACUAGAAAAGAACAGGAGCAGAAGAAUGUGGUGCCUUUACCCUCUGUGAUUAAGGGAGUUUUGCUUCAGCAGCUGGUUCAGGCCACGGUUGCAGGGCUCAUGUUCUUGGUGACUGCCAAGCCAAGUUCAAGUAGCUUAGCUCAGCCACCGUUACUCGUCCAAUUGAUCCAAAUCGCGGUAGCAAUGUUCAUAAUGGACACAUGGCAAUACUUCAUUCAUCGAUACAUGCACCAGAACAAGUUCCUGUACCAGCAUGUCCAUUCACAGCAUCAUAGACUUAUUGUUCCUUAUGCUAUUGGUGCCCUUUACAAUCACCCGCUGGAGGGACUUCUUCUCGAUACCUUUGGUGGGGCCAUCUCAUUCCUGAUCUCAGGGAUGACUGCACGAACCUCGGUCUUCUUCUUCUGCUUUGCUGUUAUCAAGACGGUGGAUGAUCAUUGUGGCCUUUGGCUACCUGGAAAUAUUUUCCAUAUCCUCUUUCAGAACAACACUGCCUACCAUGACAUCCAUCAUCAACUCCAGGGCACAAAGUACAACUACUCCCAGCCGUUCUUCUCGGUAUGGGACAGAUUGCUGGGCACCUACAUGCCUUUCAGCUUGAUGCACCGCCAAGAAGGUGGAUUCGAGGCAAGGAUACUAAAAAAGAUUACUUGACAUGUUCAAAGACAGAUUGCAGUGGUAUGCAUAAAAAUAUACCAGUUGUUGAGAAUCUAUGCAGUUCAAUUCUCUCUCAAAAAAAAAAAAACAGUAGGACGUUUGAUUCUUCAUUUCUGCUUGUUUCAGUCUCUUUGUUCAGCUCAAUUGUUCAGUCAUUGCCACUGGCUCACACACUACAUGUUCAUCUAGGAAUUCUGAGAUUCCCAACUUCAUUAAUGUUUCGAAAUUUACUUGAAUAUCCCGAAACUUGUGAAUCAGAGUUUUCUUAUUAAUUUGUGGGAAAUUGAUGUAGAGAAGAGGCAACCUAAAGUCAACCGAAGGCCACAGACUUCUCCGGCCCUCACAGCACCUACUUCACCAUGAUGAAGUGUACGAUACAUGGAUGGAUUAUCGAUCUAAAGUUGCUAGAUUUGGCAGAGGCACCACCAGUUGCAUGAAUCUCACAAAGCCAUAUCGUUGUCUGAAAGAGACAUGUCUGUAAAAUAACACCUGGAUCACUGUUCCUCCACAUGGAUCUGUACCUCCAUGGUUAUGUCAGGAAGCAAUGCAACAGCGUCACCAUCUUCCUACCUGUUCUUUAUAUCUAUGUCUGUGAAUUAACUUUAAUUUGGUCCCCGCAUGGCUUGUUCCUCGUUUUAUGAACUAGUUAAAGGCAGAGAAAUGUAAUUCAGGAACCAUGGAAUCGUGUGUAACAAAAUGUAAUGAGAAAAACCUUUUCCUUUGUAAGAGAUUGUGAUAGCAUUUGCCAUUGAUUAUGGCAAUUAGAUUCCAA